This is a non-coding RNA of Chlorocebus sabaeus (green monkey), 1728 nucleotides long. The record is from RefSeq and is a predicted model, not a curated record. Lineage: Eukaryota; Metazoa; Chordata; Mammalia; Primates; Cercopithecidae.
CCACCUCCCGAGGCUCCAGUCUGCGCACGCGCGCCCACCCGAGGCACCUCCCCUGCCCGGCCGCUGGCCCCGCCUCUAGACCACGCCCCCAUCCCGAGGACCCUCCCCGUCCGCCUCCGCGGGGCGGCGAGCAGGUUUCGGUUUCGCAAGGGCGGUGCAGGUACCCAGGGUGGCGGAGUUGGCCUGGCCGCACGAAAGCCCAAGGUCGUGUCCGGCCACUGAAGGGCAGGGUGGUCCUUGCUGACGCCAACCUCGAAGGUCAGACCCGGCCCCAGCUUGCCAGGGAGGGCCCGGUCCUUGGCGAAAGGCCAGAAAAGCUAUUUGAAUUCAUUUACUCUUGUGUUCAGAACUUUUACAUAUUGCAUGUCUAUGCAGGUCUCAGACCACCUCAGCUCUUGCUCAAUGACCAGAACUCCAGAAGAAAAGCGAUUCAGAUGCUGGUUGAGUGGGGCAGUAGGGGUGCCCAGCUUCCAGAAAGUGCAAGCUGGAGGAUCUCAGAAGAAAGGCAGGACUGAUGCCCACCCCGACCCUGUGUGCUACAGGAACAACAGACAGCUCACCCCCAUCUGCUAGAAGGCAUGAAGGAAGGAAGGGCCAAGGACGAGAUGUGGAGAGACUCACGUCCAUGGGACCAAGAAUCACAGGCAUCACAGUUCCCAAAAAGGGCUCUUUCCUGGCCCACGGGGCUCCAUACUGCAUGCAGGUCACCAGCUUCCUGCACACAGGCCAGGCUCUCGUGAGCUCUCUGGAGAUCCACUCUUCACAGUGACCCCCGCGCACAGUGCCCUGCUGUCCCCCUACUGAUGAAGGGGCGGAAGCUGCAAGGAUGCAUUCCGUCCAUGGCCACAUGCCCAGACAGGCCUGGGCAGCCUGCCUCUUCUCGCGCUCGGCCACUUCAUGCCACUGCCGCCACCUCCAACUGCCCCGGCCCUAAGCUGAGCCACACCGCCCUGCUACCUCAAGCCUGUGGUCAGCAUCACGCAUCAUACCUUCCCUCGGUCAAACUCUUCAUCCCAGUCAUCAACCACGGUCUCAGUCUGGGCCAGUCUGCUGUCUUCAAUAGCAUCCUGACUGACCGCCGACAUCUUGCCAUCCCAGGUCAGAACUACCAGGCAGACACAGGGCUCAGCACGAGUGCAGGUUCCCAGGUACCCUGUGGCUUCACUUCAAGAGUGUCAUUUACCAACUAGUCUACCCAUAAUUAGUCAACAAUUUUGAGUGCCACCUUGUGGUGAACAGAAGGACAAGAGGAGGACGGCUUGACGUCCAUGUGUGGUCGGUCAGCACAGAACCCCCAACACCACCCUCUUAGCUAAACGCUAAACCACGGCCACAGACUUCAGUUCUCUCCAAAACCACGCCCUCAUCUGAGAAAUAAAGAUGUCAUAUUCGGCCUCGAAGUCUGAAUAAAAACAUGCUCUGAGUAAGAAGUGACAUUACCUAGGUUGGAAGAGCUUGGUCACUCUGCCCCUUCCCUACCCAAGACCCAGCAUGUGCUGGGUUCCUCACCCUGCCCCAACCCUCAGAAGCAGCUGUUCUGGAUCCUGCCAUGGACAGAAGCCACCUUCGUGCCACGGCUGAGGGUUUAAAGAGGAUUCCAGCCAGUGUUGAGAUUCCUCUUCCCAUUCUCAAAGCCGAGCGAUGCCUGCCCUCCACACUCACAGUACACCAGGAUCCAAUCCACACCCUUCCCUCCUCCAAAACCAACCAAUCAAAGGCAAACAGAAG